UACGUAGGGACCAAGCGUUGUUCGGAUUUACUGGGCGUAAAGGGCGCGUAGGCGGCGUGGUAAGUCACUUGUGAAAUCUCCGGGCUUAACUCGGAACGGUCAAGUGAUACUGUCGGACUAGAGUACAGAAGGGGCAACUGGAAUUCUCGGUGCAGCGGUGAAAUGCGUAGAUAUCGAGAGGAACACCUGCGGCGAAGGCGGGUUGCUGGGCUGAUACUGACGCUGAGGCGCGAAAGCCAGGGGAGCGAACGGG
This 253-nucleotide ribosomal RNA is filed under the name uncultured bacterium. RNAcentral describes it as "partial 16S ribosomal RNA". It matches the Rfam family "Bacterial small subunit ribosomal RNA", at positions 524 to 776 of the family's 1533-position model. The record is from RNAcentral.